ACUGUGGAGAUGGCUGUGCCUCUUUUGGGGUCGGUUCACAGGUGGUGCAUGGGUGUCGUCAGCUCGUGUCGUGAGAUGUUGGGUUAAGUCCCGCAACGAGCGCCCCCUUGUUCACUGUUGCCAGCACGUUGUGGGGGGGACUCAGUGGAGACCGCCGGGGUCAACUCAGAAGAAGGGGGGGAUGACGUCAACUCAUCGUGCCCCUUAUGUCGGGGUCUUCACGCGUGCUACAAUGGGUGGUACAGAGAGGGGCGACCCUGUGAGGGUGAGCAAAUCUCAAAAAGCCGGUCUCAUUUCAGAUUGGGGUCUGCAACUCCACCUCAUGAAGGCAGAGUCGCUAGUAAUCGCAUAUCAACAACGCUGCGGAGAAUACUUUCCCGGGCUUGGACCCCAGAGAA
Molecule: ribosomal RNA, 398 nt
Filed under: uncultured bacterium
Lineage: Bacteria
Description: partial 16S ribosomal RNA
Rfam family: Bacterial small subunit ribosomal RNA
Source: RNAcentral